CAACAUCACUCAUCUUCAUCAAAAAUAAAAAGAAAAUGCUUCAUGUCACUUUUUGAGAGUUGCACGAGAAAAUGGAUAAAACAGUUUUCACCUGACUGAUAAAAAUGUGUUUAGACAACGUCAAUUAUCAAUAACGGAUGCCCAUGGAUUCUAAACAGAAAUAUUUGCUUUAUGAUAUGUAUGUUUGAGCCACAAAAAGUAACUUUAUGUGUACGUUAACUUACAACAGCAUGAUCCCAAUGAGGUUCAUAAUGUCCUCCAAUACCAUAGUUUGCAACCUAGGAAGUAAGAUCUGUCAUUAGUAUGUACAACCCUGUACAGCCUUACCCCUACAUGUAGUAAAAUCUCCACUGACUUAU
Long non-coding RNA from Xenia sp. Carnegie-2017, 359 nucleotides. RefSeq lists it as uncharacterized. The transcript is spliced from 2 exons. The record is from RefSeq and is a predicted model, not a curated record. Lineage: Eukaryota; Metazoa; Cnidaria; Anthozoa; Malacalcyonacea; Xeniidae.